This 253-nucleotide ribosomal RNA is filed under the name uncultured bacterium. Its description in RNAcentral is "partial 16S ribosomal RNA". It matches the Rfam family "Bacterial small subunit ribosomal RNA", at positions 524 to 776 of the family's 1533-position model. The record is from RNAcentral.
UACGUAGAGUGCGAGCGUUAAUCGGAAUUACUGGGCGUAAAGCGUGCGCAGGCGGUUCGUUAAGACAGAUGUGAAAUCCCCGGGCUUAACCUGGGAACUGCAUUUGUGACUGGCGAGCUAGAGUAUGGCAGAGGGGGGUAGAAUUCCACGUGUAGCAGUGAAAUGCGUAGAGAUCCGGAGGAAGACCGGUGGCGAAGGCGGCCUGCUGGGCAGUUACUGACACUGAGGCGCGACAGCGUGGGGAGCAAACAGG